GUUAACUUUUAGAAAGUAUUCUCGCACCGUAUAAAUACAUCUCAUUUUUCUCUGUUUUGUCAGUAGUUGUUUUUGGUAUUAUUCGUGCAACGUGGAAGCUAACUUAGUGGUUUGGUGUUCGUACAAAAAAGCAGUCCUAAAGAUCAUCUUAGUACUCUCAACCCGUAACCGCAAAUAGAAUAGCAGCCAAUCUUAAGCAUGGACUUAAGUCAACUGAAUCAAACCUGUCUUGCAGAAGGUGAUUUUGAGCAGCCGAUUGUCAAACUGCAUGAAUUGCCGAUAGGCGUUCCGUUUAAAAUUACUAGAGCCAAAAUUGUUAAUACAAAAUUUGGCAAUUCCGUGUUGCUGCAAUUAGAAAAUUCCGUAGUAUUUCUUCCUACUCGCGUGACAGAAGCUUUCCGUCCGAGACUAGAACACUUUGCGUCGGGGCAGUACAAACUGGUCUACGAGGGAUCCAAAGAUAUUGGAAAGCCCAACUCUUUAAAGAAAUUCAAAAUAAUUCAAAAUUAAUCAACAUAUUAUACAGGAUUAUGGUCAAACAACUUACAUUAGAAAGCCUUUGUAUUAUAACAAUUUGCGAAAAUAUUAGGUGUAGUGCUGAUUUUUUGCUUGAGUCACCUUUGCCUUGGAAACUAACGAUACUAAUAUUUAAAUAUUAUUCGAAAUAUAGAUGGAAGUACCUUAAACAAUUAGCGCUCCAGUCUGAUGGCAAUUCUUUAUUAAAUUUAGAAUUCAUUCUGUUGAAUAAGAGAUUUGGAUCGUCUUACAGAAAUAGCAUUUUGGCAACUCCAACCAUUGAUUUUGACGGAGAAUCCGCUUACUGUUUAUGGGUCAGUUAUUACAGGAUAAAAUAUUCGGAAAUUUUAGUUUGUAAAUCUUGUCACUUUAUAUUUCAACUAGUUAAAAAAUUUAAAAAGAAAAAUUUUAGACUUUUAUUGGAUCACUAUCAUUUACAGCUGGAUAUAAAUA
Molecule: long non-coding RNA, 969 nt
Organism: Cylas formicarius (sweet potato weevil)
Lineage: Eukaryota; Metazoa; Arthropoda; Insecta; Coleoptera; Brentidae
Exons: 4
Source: RefSeq, a predicted model, not a curated record